AAUCAGGGCUACAAGCAGGGCUGGAAAUGCGAAGGAAGGGGGAAAAGGCCAUUUAAUGGGCUCUGUUUGAACUUGGGCCCUGGCUGAUGUUCAACUUUCUGCAGAACAUCUGGUCCCUUCCUGCUGAGCAAGGGGCAGCGCCACUGCACUGGGAUCUGGGAUCUCCAGUCCAAGGCUGCUGGUCAGAGCCCAGAGACCCUGAGCCUACUGGGGCAUCGCGCCUCAGGCUGCUGCACGUGUCACUCAGGAGCCUGCACUGCCACUCAGAAGCUGCCUCUGCCACGUGUGAGACCAGGUGGGUCAGUGUGAGAUUCUGCAGGACUCCAACCCUGGGGUUGGCAUCCACAGGGACUCCAGAGCUCUUCCAGAGGGCUGCUCAGUCCCUGAUCCCAUGUGAAGGCUCAGCACCCACCAAGCUCUCUUGCAGGACUGAAGCCCACAGGUUCUUCCGUCUGUCUGGUUCUCCAGGAGCCUCAUCUUUGGCUGUGUUGACUUCUUUUCUCUUAUGGAUACACUUCUCACUAAAAGCCCCUGCAGAACCCUGUCACCGGCAGCUCUGCAUUCUGUUAUCCAUGUGUUCAUUCUUUACUCAGGCUCCUACUUAUCUGGGUUAUCUUGUAUCCCAGGCCACAUUUCAUGUACCAGCAGCAUACUUUAAGCAGGAAAUAGAAUCAUCGUGUCAAGGCAUGAUUUGUGUUGGAAGGGACCUUAAAUCCCAUAUAGAUGCAACCCCUCUGCCAUGGGCAGGGACACUUUCCACUAUGCCAGGUUGCUCCACGCCCUGUCCAGCCUGGCCUUGGACACUUCAGGGAUGGGGCAGCCACAGCUUCUCUGGGCACCCUGUGCCAGGGCCUCACCUCCCUCACAGGGAUGAAUUUCUUCCCAGUCUCUAACCUCUGCACCAGUGGCUUCUUCUAUGUGGCUCCACCAGUGCUCAGCUCCUCAUUCCUUGGCCCUGUUCCCUAACCUCUUCUCCUAUCACCUCUGCCCCUGUUCCUCCUGGGCCUUGCCACUGGGCAAGCAGCAGGCCUGGGGCCACCUGAGACCCGAGACCUGAGACCUGCCCCACAGGGGUGGGAACCCAUGGGGAGAGAUAAACGGGAGCCCCAGGGGUGCCAGGAG
Molecule: long non-coding RNA, 1122 nt
Filed under: Parus major (Great Tit)
Lineage: Eukaryota; Metazoa; Chordata; Aves; Passeriformes; Paridae
Description: lncRNA (ENSPMJG00000007261.1)
Source: RNAcentral